Regulatory RNA element from Legionella fallonii LLAP-10, 77 nucleotides. It matches the Rfam family "RAGATH-32 RNA". From Rfam's summary of the family: Legionellales (_-Proteobacteria). Nearby to self-cleaving ribozyme genes Lineage: Bacteria; Pseudomonadati; Pseudomonadota; Gammaproteobacteria; Legionellales; Legionellaceae. The record is from Rfam.
AUGGCUGGACGUUCAGUUGGGAAAUCACUUCAAGGAACUCUGUCGUUCGGUGGAUCGGGUCGAAAGACUCUAAGUCA